This 301-nucleotide ribosomal RNA is filed under the name uncultured bacterium. RNAcentral describes it as "partial 16S ribosomal RNA". It matches the Rfam family "Bacterial small subunit ribosomal RNA", at positions 509 to 807 of the family's 1533-position model. The record is from RNAcentral.
CAGUCGCCGCGGUAAUACAGAGGGUGCGAGCGUUAAUCGGAUUUACUGGGCGUAAAGCGUGCGUAGGCGGCUUUUUAAGUCGGAUGUGAAAUCCCUGAGCUUAACUUAGGAAUUGCAUUCGAUACUGGGAAGCUAGAGUAUGGGAGAGGAUGGUAGAAUUCCAGGUGUAGCGGUGAAAUGCGUUGAGAUCUGGAGGAAUACCGAUGGCGAAGGCAGCCAUCUGGCCUAAUACUGACGCUGAGGUACGAAAGCAUGGGGAGCAAACAGGAUUAGAUACCCCGGUAGUCCCUGUCUCUUAUAC